Molecule: long non-coding RNA, 3051 nt
Filed under: Homo sapiens (human)
Lineage: Eukaryota; Metazoa; Chordata; Mammalia; Primates; Hominidae
Description: HSALNT0036716
Source: RNAcentral
UGAGGUGCCAGCAAAUUUGGUUUCUACUGAAGGUUCCCUUCAGGGCUUGUAGAUACAUUCUCACUCUGCCCCCACAAAGCCUUUCUGAUCUUUAUUUUUUUUAAUUUAGUUCAUUGUUGUUGUUGCUGCUGCUGCUGCUGUUGUCUUUGUUGUUGUUGUUGUUGUUGUUUUAAGAGACAGGCUCUCACUCUGGAGUGCAGUUGUACAAUCAUUGCUCAUUGUAACCUCAAACUCCUGGGCUCAAGCAAUCCUCCCACCUCAGCCUCCCUAGUAAGUAGAAGCACAGUGCCCAGCCCUCUCUCCCUUUAAAAACACCAAUUAUAUUGUAUAAUGACUCCAAUCUUAUGACCCCAUUUAACCUCAGUUACUUCCCCAAAGGCCUUAUCCCCAAGUUGCUAUCGCACUGGGGGUUAGGGCUUCAACAUAUGAAUUGUGUCAGGGGAGGACACAAUUCAGUGCAUAACUGUACAUGAGUGCUUAGUGUGAAGGCUACAUUUCAUAGCUUCUUUUGAAGUUAGGUCACUAAAUUCUCAUCAAUGAGAUGGAAAAGGAAGACUCGUGAGAUAGUUUCUGGUCUUCUUUAAGAAACUGCACGCCUUCUUCCCUCUUUGCCUCCUUCUGUCCUUCCAUCCUUCCUUCCUUCCUUCCUUUCUUCCUUCCUCUCUUCCUUCUUUCCUUCCUCCCCUUUCUUUCUUUUUAAUGUAAAAAAAAAAAAAAACCAGCUCUUUGUUCUUUCUUCUUCAUCCCUUCCUCCAUCUCAAAGCCUGGAACAAAGACUAUGAGGACGAGAGUCACACCUUUGGAAUGGCCUGAAAGUGCCUGGGCCCCCAAGAGCAUUGUGGAGUGGAGCUGCUGAUGUACCCUGAACUGCCUAUCUCUGAACUCUUAAAAGACCACUCUAUAGGUUACGUGCAUAGCAGAUCUUGUGGUGUUGGAUGUGCGUGUUGGAUGUGUGUGUUGGAUGCCUCGUUCAUCAACAAGGUUAAGUAUGUUUAAAUACACUUAUUGGCCACUUUUGAGAGGUACUUUUGCAAGUCUCCUACUUUUUUUUUAAAUUAGAUUGCUUGUCUUUCUCCUACUGAUAUAUAAGAGUUCCUCGUAAAUGUUUGACAUGAAUUUUUGGGAUGUACCUGUAUUACAAAUACAUGCCCCAACUCUGUGACAUUUAUUUUAAUCCCUUACUGAAUGACUUUGUAGAACAGAAUUUCUUAAAUUUAAAAUCAUCACUCUAUUCUAUUUCAAUUGUAUGGUUGCCUAUCUUUGAGAUGAUGAGAGCUUGUCUUAUUUUUUUUAAGUCUGAUGUCUAGUAAGUUCUACUACGUUGCUUUUCUUUCCUCAAUACUGUCUUAGCCAUUCUUAGACUUUUGCAUUUCACAGCAAUGGUAAAAUAAAACAAAGUUCCAGAAAAAUCAAAGUUGAAUUUUGAUUAAAAUUGCACUCAAACUGUAAAUCAGUUUGGAAGCAAUUUGCAUAUUUCUCAAAUUGGGUCUUCUCAUUUAUAAACUUGAUAUAUCCUUUCAUUCAUUUAGGUUUUUUAUAGUUUUCUGGGUGGAGGUUUUGGACAUCUUUUGUAUGAUGUACUUUUGGGUAUUUUAUUAUUAUAAAUGGCAUCUAUGUAAAUUUUCUAAUGUUUUUUUUGUUGAUAAGUAAAAAUUCAAUUUAUUUAUAAAUAUUUUGUGUAUUAUAUAUGUACUUUGCAUAUUUAUAUAUUUGUAUGCUGUUAUGGACUGAAUGACUCAAAAUCCAUAUAUUGAAACCCUAACAUCUAAUUUGAUGGUAUUUGGAGGUGUGGGCUUUGGAAAGUAAUUAAGUUUAGAUGAGGUCAUGAAAGUGGGUUCCCCCUGAUGAGGUCAGUGCCUUUAGGAGAGGAAGAGAGAGAGGAAGGCACCAAGGAAAGGCCAUGUGAGCACAGAGUGAGAAGGCGGCUGUUCACAAGUUGGAAAGCGGGCCCCCAUCAAGAACCAAAUCUGCCAGCAACCUGAUCUUGGACUUCCAGCCCCUAGAACUGUGAAAAAUAAAUGACUGUUAUUUAAGCCACUCAGUCGAUGGUAUUCUUUUAUAGCAGCCUGAACUAAGACAUAUGCUGCUCACCUCUCUUGCUGAACUUGUUGAUUACAACAAUUUAUCUGUAGAUUCUUCUAAAGUCUCUUCAUAUAUAAUCCUAUUUUAUUACAUCAUAGUGGCUUUUGUAUUUACUAUUUUCCAAUUAUUAAAUCUCUUAUUUAUUUUUCUUACUCUACUCUAUUCACGUGCAUCAAGUAUGAUAUUGAGUAAAAUGGUGACAGCAACGCUUUUGUCAUUUUCUGAUCUCAAAGAGAAAGCUUUCACGUUUUACUUCUAAGCGUGAUGUGUGCUGUAAGUUUUCUGUAGAUCCUUUUCAAGUUAAGAAAGUUUUUUUUUCUAUUUCUAGUUUGUUGGGAAGCUUUUGUAAAAUUAUAAAUGGAUAUUAAAUUUUAUUUAGAAAUUUCUGCAUCUAUGCAAAUAAUCAUAAUUUUUCUCUUUUAUUCUGUUAAUACGAUAAGUUACAUUGCUUCAUUUUCAAAUGUUAAAUCAACUUUGCAUUCCUGGAAUACACCUAAUGUGUCAUAGUGGAUUAUAUUAUUUAUAAUUUUUAAGAUUAGAUUUGAUAUUAUUUUAUUUAGAGGUUUUAUAUUUAUGUUCAUGAGUAAAAUUACCUGUAAUAUAUCCUUUCUCAUAGUUACCUUAGCAAAUUUUGACAUCAAGAUUACAUUUUAAAACUAGUUCUGGAAUGUUUCCUCCUUUUCUCCCUAUUGUCUGCAAGAAUUUGUGAAAGAUUGAUAAUACUUAUUCUUUAAUCGUUUGGUAAACCCACUGGUAAGCCAUCUGGAUCUGGAAUUUUAUUUGUGGGAAGGUUUAUAAUUACGCUUCAAUUUUUUUUAAGUGAAAAGAUUAUUAAGGUUUUAUAUUUCUGCUUUAGCCAGCCUGGGAAUUGACACUUUCUCACAACUUUACCAAUUUCAUAAUAAAUGCAUUGAAACAAAUGUGCUUAUGAUAAUGUUGAUAUUUUUAAUGACUGUAAAUUUUUACUGA